This 1410-nucleotide ribosomal RNA is filed under the name Enterococcus malodoratus. RNAcentral's name for it is "bacterial SSU rRNA". It matches the Rfam family "Bacterial small subunit ribosomal RNA". The record is from RNAcentral. Lineage: Bacteria; Bacillati; Bacillota; Bacilli; Lactobacillales; Enterococcaceae.
GUCGAACGCUUCUUUUCCCACCGGAGCUUGCUCCACCGGGAAAAGAGGAGUGGCGAACGGGUGAGUAACACGUGGGUAACCUGCCCAUCAGAAGGGGAUAACACUUGGAAACAGGUGCUAAUACCGUAUAACAAUCGAAACCGCAUGGUUUCGUUUUGAAAGGCGCUUUACGGUGCCGCUGAUGGAUGGACCCGCGGUGCAUUAGCUAGUUGGUGAGGUAACGGCUCACCAAGGCCACGAUGCAUAGCCGACCUGAGAGGGUGAUCGGCCACAUUGGGACUGAGACACGGCCCAAACUCCUACGGGAGGCAGCAGUAGGGAAUCUUCGGCAAUGGACGAAAGUCUGACCGAGCAACGCCGCGUGAGUGAAGAAGGUUUUCGGAUCGUAAAACUCUGUUGUUAGAGAAGAACAAGGGUGAGAGUAACUGUUCACCCCUUGACGGUAUCUAACCAGAAAGCCACGGCUAACUACGUGCCAGCAGCCGCGGUAAUACGUAGGUGGCAAGCGUUGUCCGGAUUUAUUGGGCGUAAAGCGAGCGCAGGCGGUUUCUUAAGUCUGAUGUGAAAGCCCCCGGCUCAACCGGGGAGGGUCAUUGGAAACUGGGAGACUUGAGUGCAGAAGAGGAGAGUGGAAUUCCAUGUGUAGCGGUGAAAUGCGUAGAUAUAUGGAGGAACACCAGUGGCGAAGGCGGCUCUCUGGUCUGUAACUGACGCUGAGGCUCGAAAGCGUGGGGAGCAAACAGGAUUAGAUACCCUGGUAGUCCACGCCGUAAACGAUGAGUGCUAAGUGUUGGAGGGUUUCCGCCCUUCAGUGCUGCAGCUAACGCAUUAAGCACUCCGCCUGGGGAGUACGACCGCAAGGUUGAAACUCAAAGGAAUUGACGGGGGCCCGCACAAGCGGUGGAGCAUGUGGUUUAAUUCGAAGCAACGCGAAGAACCUUACCAGGUCUUGACAUCCUUUGACCACUCUAGAGAUAGAGCUUCCCCUUCGGGGGCAAAGUGACAGGUGGUGCAUGGUUGUCGUCAGCUCGUGUCGUGAGAUGUUGGGUUAAGUCCCGCAACGAGCGCAACCCUUAUUGUUAGUUGCCAUCAUUUAGUUGGGCACUCUAGCAAGACUGCCGGUGACAAACCGGAGGAAGGUGGGGAUGACGUCAAAUCAUCAUGCCCCUUAUGACCUGGGCUACACACGUGCUACAAUGGGAAGUACAACGAGUCGCGAAGUCGCGAGGCUAAGCUAAUCUCUUAAAGCUUCUCUCAGUUCGGAUUGUAGGCUGCAACUCGCCUACAUGAAGCCGGAAUCGCUAGUAAUCGCGGAUCAGCACGCCGCGGUGAAUACGUUCCCGGGCCUUGUACACACCGCCCGUCACACCACGAGAGUUUGUAACACCCGAAGUCGGUGAGGUAACCUUU